RNAcentral lists this ribosomal RNA (263 nucleotides) under uncultured Staphylococcus sp. RNAcentral's name for it is "partial 16S ribosomal RNA". It matches the Rfam family "Bacterial small subunit ribosomal RNA", at positions 99 to 355 of the family's 1533-position model. Lineage: Bacteria; Bacillati; Bacillota; Bacilli; Caryophanales; Staphylococcaceae. The record is from RNAcentral.
CGGACGGGUGAGUAACACGUGGAUAACCUACCUAUAAGACUGGGAUAACUUCGGGAAACCGGAGCUAAUACCGGAUAAUAUAUUGAACCGCAUGGUUCAAUGGUGAAAGACGGUUUUGCUGUCACUUAUAGAUGGAUCCGCGCCGCAUUAGCUAGUUGGUAAGGUAACGGCUUACCAAGGCAACGAUGCGUAGCCGACCUGAGAGGGUGAUCGGCCACACUGGAACUAAGACACGGUCCAGACUCCUACGGGAGGCAGCAGCA